UCUGGCUUUAGGUCUGGGACAACCACUGGAAACGGUGGCUAAUACCGGAUGUGCCUUUAGGGGUGAAAGGUUAACUGCCUGAAGAUGAGCUCGCGUCUGAUUAGCUAGUUGGAAGUGUAAUGGACUCCCAAGGCGACGAUCAGUAGCUGGUCUGAGAGGACGAUCAGCCACACUGGGACUGAGACACGGCCCAGACUCCUACGGGAGGCAGCAGUGGGGAAUUUUCCGCAAUGGGCGAAAGCCUGACGGAGCAAUACCGCGUGAGGGAGGAAGGCUCUUGGGUCGUAAACCUCUUUUCUCAGGGAAGAACACAAUGACGGUACCUGAGGAAUAAGCAUCGGCUAACUCCGUGCCAGCAGCCGCGGUAAUACGGAGGAUGCAAGCGUUAUCCGGAAUGAUUGGGCGUAAAGCGUCCGCAGGUGGCAAUGUAAGUCUGCUGUUAAAGAGUCUAGCUCAACUAGAUACAAGCAGUGGAAACUACAUAGCUAGAGUACGUUCGGGGCAGAGGGAAUUCCUGGUGUAGCGGUGAAAUGCGUAGAGAUCAGGAAGAACACCAGUGGCGAAGGCGCUCUGCUAGGCCGUAACUGACACUGAGGGACGAAAGC
RNAcentral lists this ribosomal RNA (605 nucleotides) under Nostoc sp. 'Leptogium saturninum cyanobiont'. RNAcentral's name for it is "bacterial SSU rRNA". It matches the Rfam family "Bacterial small subunit ribosomal RNA", at positions 125 to 760 of the family's 1533-position model. The record is from RNAcentral. Lineage: Bacteria; Bacillati; Cyanobacteriota; Cyanophyceae; Nostocales; Nostocaceae.